AUACUGCAGUCGAGCGAUGGAUUAAGAGCUUGCUCUUAUGAAGUUAGCGGCGGACGGGUGAGUAACACGUGGGUAACCUGCCCAUAAGACUGGGAUAACUCCGGGAAACCGGGGCUAAUACCGGAUAACAUUUUGAACCGCAUGGUUCGAAAUUGAAAGGCGGCUUCGGCUGUCACUUAUGGAUGGACCCGCGUCGCAUUAGCUAGUUGGUGAGGUAACGGCUCACCAAGGCAACGAUGCGUAGCCGACCUGAGAGGGUGAUCGGCCACACUGGGACUGAGACACGGCCCAGACUCCUACGGGAGGCAGCAGUAGGGAAUCUUCCGCAAUGGACGAAAGUCUGACGGAGCAACGCCGCGUGAGUGAUGAAGGCUUUCGGGUCGUAAAACUCUGUUGUUAGGGAAGAACAAGUGCUAGUUGAAUAAGCUGGCACCUUGACGGUACCUAACCAGAAAGCCACGGCUAACUACGUGCCAGCAGCCGCGGUAAUACGUAGGUGGCAAGCGUUAUCCGGAAUUAUUGGGCGUAAAGCGCGCGCAGGUGGUUUCUUAAGUCUGAUGUGAAAGCCCACGGCUCAACCGUGGAGGGUCAUUGGAAACUGGGAGACUUGAGUGCAGAAGAGGAAAGUGGAAUUCCAUGUGUAGCGGUGAAAUGCGUAGAGAUAUGGAGGAACACCAGUGGCGAAGGCGACUUUCUGGUCUGUAACUGACACUGAGGCGCGAAAGCGUGGGGAGCAAACAGGAUUAGAUACCCU
Molecule: ribosomal RNA, 754 nt
Filed under: Bacillus cereus
Lineage: Bacteria; Bacillati; Bacillota; Bacilli; Caryophanales; Bacillaceae
Description: bacterial SSU rRNA
Rfam family: Bacterial small subunit ribosomal RNA
Source: RNAcentral